RNAcentral lists this ribosomal RNA (1142 nucleotides) under uncultured Clostridia bacterium. RNAcentral describes it as "bacterial SSU rRNA". It matches the Rfam family "Bacterial small subunit ribosomal RNA", at positions 8 to 1172 of the family's 1533-position model. The record is from RNAcentral. Lineage: Bacteria; Bacillati; Bacillota; Clostridia.
GAGAGUUUGAUCCUGGCUCAGGACGAACGCUGGCGGCGCGCCUAACACAUGCAAGUCGAACGAGCGAGAGAGAGCUUGCUUUCUCGAGCGAGUGGCGAACGGGUGAGUAACGCGUGAGGAACCUGCCUCAAAGAGGGGGACAACAGUUGGAAACGACUGCUAAUACCGCAUAAGCCCACGACCCGGCAUCGGGUUGAGGGAAAAGGAGCAAUCCGCUUUGAGAUGGCCUCGCGUCCGAUUAGCUAGUUGGUGAGGUAACGGCCCACCAAGGCGACGAUCGGUAGCCGGACUGAGAGGUUGAACGGCCACAUUGGGACUGAGACACGGCCCAGACUCCUACGGGAGGCAGCAGUGGGGAAUAUUGCACAAUGGGGGAAACCCUGAUGCAGCGACGCCGCGUGGAGGAAGAAGGUCUUCGGAUUGUAAACUCCUGUUGUUGAGGAAGAUAAUGACGGUACUCAACAAGGAAGUGACGGCUAACUACGUGCCAGCAGCCGCGGUAAAACGUAGGUCACAAGCGUUGUCCGGAAUUACUGGGUGUAAAGGGAGCGCAGGCGGGAAGACAAGUUGGAAGUGAAAUCCAUGGGCUCAACCCAUGAACUGCUUUCAAAACUGUUUUUCUUGAGUAGUGCAGAGGUAGGCGGAAUUCCCGGUGUAGCGGUGGAAUGCGUAGAUAUCGGGAGGAACACCAGUGGCGAAGGCGGCCUACUGGGCACCAACUGACGCUGAGGCUCGAAAGUGUGGGUAGCAAACAGGAUUAGAUACCCUGGUAGUCCACACCGUAAACGAUGAUACUAGGUGUUGGAGGAUUGACCCCUUCAGUGCCGCAGUUAACACAAUAAGUAAUCCACCUGGGGAGUACGACCGCAAGGUUGAAACUCAAAGGAAUUGACGGGGGCCCGCACAAGCAGUGGAGUAUGUGGUUUAAUUCGACGCAACGCGAAGAACCUUACCAAGUCUUGACAUCCUGCGACGGUGCUGGAAACAGAACUUUCCUUCGGGACGCAGAGACAGGUGGUGCAUGGUUGUCGUCAGCUCGUGUCGUGAGAUGUUGGGUUAAGUCCCGCAACGAGCGCAACCCUUAUGGUCAGUUACUACGCAAGAGGACUCUGGCCAGACUGCCGUUGACAAAACGGAGGAAG